GCAGCCGCGGUAAUACGGAAGGUCCGAGCGUUAUCCGGAUUUAUUGGGUUUAAAGGGAGCGUAGGCGGGCUGUUAAGCCAGCCGUCAAAUUGCGGGGCUCAACCCCGUAUCGCGGUUGGAACUGGCGGCCUUGAGUGGGCAAGAGGCGCGUGGAAUUCGUGGUGUAGCGGUGAAAUGCAUAGAUAUCACGAGGAACUCCGAUUGCGAAGGCAGCGCGCUGGGGCCUUACUGACGCUGAUGCUCGAAGGCGCGGGUAUCAAACAGGAUUAGAUACCCC
RNAcentral lists this ribosomal RNA (277 nucleotides) under uncultured Prevotellaceae bacterium. Its description in RNAcentral is "partial 16S ribosomal RNA". It matches the Rfam family "Bacterial small subunit ribosomal RNA", at positions 511 to 788 of the family's 1533-position model. The record is from RNAcentral. Lineage: Bacteria; Pseudomonadati; Bacteroidota; Bacteroidia; Bacteroidales; Prevotellaceae.